This 25-nucleotide non-coding RNA is filed under the name Mus musculus (house mouse). The record is from RNAcentral. Lineage: Eukaryota; Metazoa; Chordata; Mammalia; Rodentia; Muridae.
UAAAUGUCAUUAUCUAAAGCCUGCA